Pogona vitticeps (central bearded dragon) is the source of this 2593-nucleotide non-coding RNA. NCBI's taxonomy places the organism in Eukaryota, Metazoa, Chordata, Lepidosauria, Squamata, Agamidae. The record is from RefSeq and is a predicted model, not a curated record.
UACAAUAACAUUGCAACAGGUUUGAAUGGGAUAUAACCCUGGAAGAAGCUCAGCGAAGGAAGCUGGAGGCCUACAUCAAAAACAGUGUGUCUUUCAUGUCUCGAGGAGAGCCAAUUGGGAAGGUGCAAAUUGACCUCUCACAGAAGGACCUCACUCAGGGUGCUGCCCAGUGGUACGACUUAAAAGAUGACAAAUCCAGCUCUUAGUCUCCAUUAUUCCUCCUUUCUUGAAUUGCAACCCUGCAGGGAGUUAAAAGAGCUGGCAUGAACGCCGCCCCGCCACCACCCUUCACUGCAGGAUCCAGGCUCACUUCCCUCUGCUGGAUGGCCUUUUCCGUAUUUUUUGUUUGUUUGUUUGUUUUUAACCAAUCGUAGUGUUGUGUUCCUAGAAUCUGCGUUUUCUGUGUGAAGCUGGUAGAGGUGAAGAAAUGACUCUUAGGUGGGUUUUGGAAGAGGGGUCAGAGGGGGGGUGGACAGGGGAGACUCAUCUGUUGCAUUCACCCUUGUGUGCUUCAGUCAACAUUGCAAACCGCAUGCUGCCUUUCUUCUUACCAAAGAGAUGGACCUUUUUCAUCCUUCUGUGGAGGAGGAUGUUUCUUUCAAGCUUGCAGAUGCUGUGUGAGCUGAUGCUUCAUAGCCCAGGGACAAGAGGUUGAGUGAAAAGACCGGAGGCCUGUAGCCUGUGCCAGGGCAUCAGCAGGAAGGAUAAAGGGAGACCAGGCCACGUAGAGGGACCAAGUAUUUUCUCGUGAUGGUCGUGGGAACAGUGUUUGCAAUGCUGCCCUAGUCCUGUCACUAAGGGGCAGGUUGCGGAUGACUUGAAUGAAAGGGUUAAAAAGCAGGCAUGAGAAAGGAGGUGAAAGUAGCCAAGCAGUUUUCAUUUGCAUUUCAAAAUACAUUUUUUCCUUAAUUGGGAAGUCCCUGGCUCUGACCUCUGUGCAUUUUACCUUGUGCCCCACCGGGCACAAUUUCCCCAUCCCUGCUUGCCUGCAGAUCUCUUCUCCUGCCAGCAACUUAUGAUUAACACACACACGCAAACGCAUAACCCAUUCUUUCUGAUCCUGGCUACUUUUAAUGGAAUCAUUUCAUGUGGUUUUUUUCCCCCUUUUUGUCUUGCGUCAUAUUGUGCGUCUAAUCCAAAAGUACAGGCAGCUUUCUUGCAGUAUUUGUGUGUGCGUACGCCCGGACAUCACUUUUCUGUUACGUUUUACAAAUGAAUGUUGUUUGGUGCCUUCUUAUACACUCCAGUCCUCACUCUUCCUUCACCGGCUUCCAGGGCUGGUGGCACCCUAUAGCUAGGAUAUAUUAAUUCCAUGCUCCAGAUCAGAUGUGCAGAUAGGCAGAAUUUACCUACCGAAUGAGCCUGCCAUAUUUGCAUUUUGACUGGCUUGGAAUAUACUUCGAAAGGUGAAGAGAAAGAAAGACAACGAAGUUUGUGAGGAGAGGAGCAAAAGGUGGCCUUGGGAUAGGACAGAUGCUCUGAGGCUGCUCUCUAAGCAUACACUGUUUUCUUUGCUAGUGCAGGGAAUUUUAAAUAUUUGUGUCUGAGGCUUUCUCGCACAUUAAAAACUUAAAAGCGCUUAGCCCCUUUUCCCUUCUUGGCUUUUUUUUCGUAAUGAAAAAUCGCGGCAUGUAAUUUUGUCGUGCUCUGUGGCUUAUUGCUGGGUGGACAUGGGUCGAUGCCUCUGUUCCAACACACUGGAAUGGCAACAGCUCCUCCAGAUCUUUGCCCGUGCCUGCGCCUCAGAGCUAAUUGCUGGCUUUAAUGAGGGGCGCCUUCCCGACAGCAGUGGGCAGCCUGGACUUUUUCCUCAGGGUGUUAUCCGGCAGCUGCACUGAGGUUUUUGUUUUUAAAUGGAGGUUUGUUAUUUGUAUGGUGUUGCUAUGAGAGAGAAUCAUACCGCUUUAGUGAUUUAAAAAAAUAUAUAUCACACAGAUAAGCCUUCAGGAGGCUAAAUCCUCACAGAGGCCUCUGAGCUGUAGGUUUAUUCUGCUUUUCUAGACCUGGUAAUCUAAGGCAGGUGGCCAGGAUCUCAGGGUGAACAAGAGGAUCAUGCUUCUAAUGUUCCCAAAAUAGAGAGGGAAGGCAUUUCGUUGCUGCAUUAUCUGAAGUUCUACAGUCUAUGAAUCUCACCUCUAAGCAAACCCUUUCCUUAUGAGGAACACCUCGCCGUCAGAGCCGGGAAAGAGGACACCUGAUCCCCAGCCCUUCUCCUUUUCUCCUCACACUCUCUCACAUUUCUGAAGAAGCCAAGAACAUUGUUUCUAGUCUGUUUAUGAAGGUGGUUGUUGUUGUUGUUUUUGUGUAUUUCUACAUGUACGACCGUAGCGAAUGUGUUUGACACGGCAAAACAGACCAUCUUCUCUCUGUGAAUCAGGCCCUGCUGCCCCAAGAAAGAGGAUGCCAGCAGGGAGAGGGUGCAUGCCCGUAAAGAGCUCUGAUCACGCGCUGCCUUCUGUGCCAAAGCAAGGCUCCCGAUUGUGCUUUCCCUCAAGCAGGCUUUCCUGUAAAGAGUGCAAUUUUUUUGCAUCCGUGCCUCUCAUCGCAGUCACUGCAACUCAUUGUAGCAAAUAAAGACGGGAGAAAAAAAAAA